This 497-nucleotide ribosomal RNA is filed under the name uncultured bacterium. RNAcentral's name for it is "partial 16S ribosomal RNA". It matches the Rfam family "Bacterial small subunit ribosomal RNA", at positions 30 to 523 of the family's 1533-position model. The record is from RNAcentral.
AUUGAACGCUGGCGGCAGGCUUAACACAUGCAAGUCGAGCGGGGGAAGGUAGCUUGCUACCGGACCUAGCGGCGGACGGGUGAGUAAUGCUUAGGAAUCUGCCUAUUAGUGGGGGACAACAUCUCGAAAGGGAUGCUAAUACCGCAUACGUCCUACGGGAGAAAGCAGGGGAUCUUCGGACCUUGCGCUAAUAGAUGAGCCUAAGUCGGAUAGCUAGUUGGUGGGGUAAAGGCCUAACAAGGCGACGAUCUGUAGCGGGUCUGAGGGGAUGAUCCGGCACAGUGGGGGUGAGACACGGCCCAAACUCCUACGGGAGGCAGCAGUGGGGAAUAUUGGACAAUGGGGGGAACCCUGAUCCAGCCAUGCCGCGUGUGUGAAGAAGGCCUUAUGGUUGUAAAGCACUUUAAGCGAGGAGGCUACUCUAGUUAAUACCUAGGGAUAGUGGACGUUACUCGCAGAAUAAGCACCGGCUAACUCUGUGCCAGCCGCCGCCGUAA